CAUGCAAGUCGUGCGGUAACACUUCGGGUGACGAGCGGCGGACGGGUGCGUAACGCGUGAGAAUCUACCUUUUAGUGGGGGACAACUCGGGGAAACUCGAGCUAAUACCGCAUAUGUUCUACGGAAUAAAGCAGGGGACCUUCGGGCCUUGCGCUAAAAGAUGAGCUCGCGCGAGAUUAGCUUGUUGGUGAGGUAAAGGCUCACCAAGGCGACGAUCUCUAGCUGGUCUGAGAGGAUGAUCAGCCACACUGGGACUGAGACACGGCCCAGACUCCUAUGGGAGGCAGCAGUGGGGAAUAUUGGACAAUGGGGGCAACCCUGAUCCAGCAAUUCCGCGUGUGUGAAGAAGGCCUGCGGGUUGUAAAGCACUUUCAGUAGCCAAGAUGGGAUUAUUUGCUAAUAUCAGAUGGUCUUGACAUUAACUACAGAAGAAGCACCGGCUAACUCCGUGCCAGCAGCCGCGGUAAUACGGAGGGUGCAAGCGUUAAUCGGAAUUACUGGGCGUAAAGAGUACGUAGGCGGCUUUGCAAGUCGGGUGUGAAAGCCCUGAGCUUAACUCAGGAACUGCAUUCGAUACUGCAUCGCUAGAGUUUAUUAGAG
This 600-nucleotide ribosomal RNA is filed under the name uncultured Gammaproteobacteria bacterium. Its description in RNAcentral is "bacterial SSU rRNA". It matches the Rfam family "Bacterial small subunit ribosomal RNA", at positions 54 to 656 of the family's 1533-position model. Lineage: Bacteria; Pseudomonadati; Pseudomonadota; Gammaproteobacteria. The record is from RNAcentral.